RNAcentral lists this ribosomal RNA (465 nucleotides) under Vreelandella stevensii. RNAcentral describes it as "partial 16S ribosomal RNA". It matches the Rfam family "Bacterial small subunit ribosomal RNA", at positions 338 to 795 of the family's 1533-position model. The record is from RNAcentral. Lineage: Bacteria; Pseudomonadati; Pseudomonadota; Gammaproteobacteria; Oceanospirillales; Halomonadaceae.
CCUACGGGGGGCUGCAGUGGGGAAUAUUGGACAAUGGGGGGAACCCUGAUCCAGCCAUGCCGCGUGUGUGAAGGAGGCCCUCGGGUUGUAAAGCACUUUCAGUGAGGAAGAACGCCUGGUGGUUAAUACCCAUCAGGAAAGACAUCACUCACAGAAGAAGCACCGGCUAACUCCGUGCCAGCAGCCGCGGUAAUACGGAGGGUGCGAGCGUUAAUCGGAAUUACUGGGCGUAAAGCGCGCGUAGGUGGCUUGAUAAGCCGGUUGUGAAAGCCCCGGGCUCAACCUGGGAACGGCAUCCGGAACUGUCAAGCUAGAGUGCAGGAGAGGAAGGUAGAAUUCCCGGUGUAGCGGUGAAAUGCGUAGAGAUCGGGAGGAAUACCAGUGGCGAAGGCGGCCUUCUGGACUGACACUGACACUGAGGUGCGAAAGCGUGGGUAGCAAACAGGAUUAGAUACCCGGGUAGUC